GACAGAGGGUGCAAACGUUGUUCGGAAUUACUGGGCGUAAAGCGUGCGCAGGCGGUUAUGUAAGACAGGUGUGAAAUCCCAGGGCUUAACCUUGGAACUGCAUUUGUGACUGCAUAGCUAGAGUACGGUAGAGGGGGAUGGAAUUCCGCGUGUAGCAGUGAAAUGCGUAGAUAUGCGGAGGAACACCGAUGGCGAAGGCAAUCCCCUGGACCUGUACUGACGCUCAUGCACGAAAGCGUGGGGAGCAAACAGG
This 253-nucleotide ribosomal RNA is filed under the name uncultured bacterium. RNAcentral's name for it is "partial 16S ribosomal RNA". It matches the Rfam family "Bacterial small subunit ribosomal RNA", at positions 524 to 776 of the family's 1533-position model. The record is from RNAcentral.